RNAcentral lists this ribosomal RNA (425 nucleotides) under uncultured bacterium. Its description in RNAcentral is "partial 16S ribosomal RNA". It matches the Rfam family "Bacterial small subunit ribosomal RNA", at positions 354 to 796 of the family's 1533-position model. The record is from RNAcentral.
GUGGGGAAUAUUGGACAAUGGGCGCAAGCCUGAUCCAGCCAUGCCGCGUGAGUGAUGAAGGCCUUCGGGUUGUAAAGCUCUUUAGCCGAUGAUUAUAAUGACUGUAGUCGGAAAAUAAGCCCCGGCUAACUUCGUGCCAGCAGCCGCGGUAAUACGAAGGGGGCGAGCGUUAUUCGGAAUCACUGGGCAUAAAGCGUGCGUAGGCGGCUUUGCAAGUUGGGAGUGAAAGCCCAGGGCUCAACCCUGGAAUUGCUCUCAAAACUGCAAGGCUCGAAUUCGGGAGAGGAUAGCGGAAUUGUCAGUGUAGCAGUGAAAUGCGUAGAUAUUGACAGGAACACCAGUGGCGUAAGCGGCUAUCUGGACCGAUAUUGACGCUGAGGCACGAAAGCGUGGGGAUCAAACAGGAUUAGAAACCCGGGUAGUCC